RNAcentral lists this non-coding RNA (46 nucleotides) under Trichobilharzia regenti. Lineage: Eukaryota; Metazoa; Platyhelminthes; Trematoda; Strigeidida; Schistosomatidae. The record is from RNAcentral.
GUACUGAUGAAGAGUCGAAAACUAGGACGAAACAGCUGUCCAGUAC